RNAcentral lists this ribosomal RNA (454 nucleotides) under uncultured bacterium. RNAcentral describes it as "partial 16S ribosomal RNA". It matches the Rfam family "Bacterial small subunit ribosomal RNA", at positions 28 to 507 of the family's 1533-position model. The record is from RNAcentral.
GAUGAACGCUGACAGAAUGCUUAACACAUGCAAGUCAACUUGAACUUCGGUUUGGGUGGCGGACGGGUGAGUAACGCGUAAAGAACUUGCCUCACAGAUAGGGACAACAUUUGGAAACGAAUGCUAAUACCUGAUAUUAUGAUUUUAGGUCAUCCUAGGAUUAUGAAAGCUAUAUGCGCUGUGAGAGAGCUUUGCGUCCCAUUAGCUAGUUGGAGAGGUAACGGCUCACCAAGGCGAUGAUGGGUAGCCGGCCUGAGAGGGUGAUCGGCCACAAGGGGACUGAGACACGGCCCUUACUCCUACGGGAGGCAGCAGUGGGGAAUAUUGGACAAUGGACCAAGAGUCUGAUACAGCAAUUCUGUGUGCAAGAUGAAGUUUUUCGGAAUGUAAAGUGCUUGCAGUUGGGAAGAAAAAAAUGACGGUACCAACAGAAGAAGUGACGGCUAAAUACGUG